RNAcentral lists this ribosomal RNA (831 nucleotides) under uncultured marine bacterium. Its description in RNAcentral is "bacterial SSU rRNA". It matches the Rfam family "Bacterial small subunit ribosomal RNA", at positions 67 to 946 of the family's 1533-position model. The record is from RNAcentral.
CGAAGUAGCAAUACUUAGUGGCAGACGGGUGAGUAACAUGUGGGCAUCUUCCCUUUGGCCUGGAAUAACACGAGGAAACUUGUGCUAAUACCGGAUAAGUCUUUACGGAGAAAGCUUUAUGCACCAUUGGAUGAGCCUGCACUUGAUUAGUUUGUUGGUGGGGUAAUGGCCUACCGAGACUUUGAUCAAUAGCUGAUUUGAGAGGAUGAUCAACCACAUUGGGACUGAGACACGGCCCAAACUCCUACGGGAGGCAGCAGUGGGGAAUCUUGCACAAUGGAGGAAACUCUGAUGCAGCGAUGCCGCGUGAGUGAAGAAGGCCCUUGGGUUGUAAAGCUCUUUCGUCGGGGAAGAAAAUGACUGUACCCGAAUAAGAAGGUCCGGCUGACUUCGUGCCAGCAGCCGCGGUAAUACGAAGGGACCUAGCGUAGUUCGGAAUUACUGGGCUUAAAGAGUUCGUAGGUGGUUGAAAAAGUUGGUGGUGAAAUCCCAGAGCUUAACUCUGGAACUGCCAUCAAAACUUUUCAGCUAGAGUUUGAUAGAGGAAAGCAGAAUUUCUAGUGUAGAGGUGAAAUUCGUAGAUAUUAGAAAGAAUACCAAUUGCGAAGGCAGCUUUCUGGAUCAUUACUGACACUGAGGAACGAAAGCAUGGGUAGCGAAGAGGAUUAGAUACCCUCGUAGUCCAUGCCGUAAACGAUGUGUGUUAGACGUUGGAAAUUUAUUUUCAGUGUCGCAGCGAAAGCGAUAAACACACCGCCUGGGGAGUACGACCGCUUGGUUAAAACUCAAAUGAAUUGACGGGGACCCGCACAAGUAGUGGAGCAUGUGGUU